UUUUAUGAGAGUUUGAUCCUGGCUCAGGACGAACGCUGGCGGCGUGCCUAAUACAUGCAAGUCGAACGCUUCUUUUUCCACCGGAGCUUGCUCCACCGGAAAAAGAGGAGUGGCGAACGGGUGAGUAACACGUGGGUAACCUGCCCAUCAGAAGGGGAUAACACUUGGAAACAGGUGCUAAUACCGUAUAACAAUCGAAACCGCAUGGUUUUGAUUUGAAAGGCGCUUUCGGGUGUCGCUGAUGGAUGGACCCGCGGUGCAUUAGCUAGUUGGUGAGGUAACGGCUCACCAAGGCGACGAUGCAUAGCCGACCUGAGAGGGUGAUCGGCCACAUUGGGACUGAGACACGGCCCAAACUCCUACGGGAGGCAGCAGUAGGGAAUCUUCGGCAAUGGACGAAAGUCUGACCGAGCAACGCCGCGUGAGUGAAGAAGGUUUUCGGAUCGUAAAACUCUGUUGUUAGAGAAGAACAAGGAUGAGAGUAACUGUUCAUCCCUUGACGGUAUCUAACCAGAAAGCCACGGCUAACUACGUGCCAGCAGCCGCGGUAAUACGUAGGUGGCAAGCGUUGUCCGGAUUUAUUGGGCGUAAAGCGAGCGCAGGCGGUUUCUUAAGUCUGAUGUGAAAGCCCCCGGCUCAACCGGGGAGGGUCAUUGGAAACUGGGAGACUUGAGUGCAGAAGAGGAGAGUGGAAUUCCAUGUGUAGCGGUGAAAUGCGUAGAUAUAUGGAGGAACACCAGUGGCGAAGGCGGCUCUCUGGUCUGUAACUGACGCUGAGGCUCGAAAGCGUGGGGAGCAAACAGGAUUAGAUACCCUGGUAGUCCACGCCGUAAACGAUGAGUGCUAAGUGUUGGAGGGUUUCCGCCCUUCAGUGCUGCAGCUAACGCAUUAAGCACUCCGCCUGGGGAGUACGACCGCAAGGUUGAAACUCAAAGGAAUUGACGGGGGCCCGCACAAGCGGUGGAGCAUGUGGUUUAAUUCGAAGCAACGCGAAGAACCUUACCAGGUCUUGACAUCCUUUGACCACUCUAGAGAUAGAGCUUCCCCUUCGGGGGCAAAGUGACAGGUGGUGCAUGGUUGUCGUCAGCUCGUGUCGUGAGAUGUUGGGUUAAGUCCCGCAACGAGCGCAACCCUUAUUGUUAGUUGCCAUCAUUUAGUUGGGCACUCUAGCAAGACUGCCGGUGACAAACCGGAGGAAGGUGGGGAUGACGUCAAAUCAUCAUGCCCCUUAUGACCUGGGCUACACACGUGCUACAAUGGGAAGUACAACGAGUCGCAAAGUCGCGAGGCUAAGCUAAUCUCUCAAAGCUUCUCUCAGUUCGGAUUGUAGGCUGCAACUCGCCUACAUGAAGCCGGAAUCGCUAGUAAUCGCGGAUCAGCACGCCGCGGUGAAUACGUUCCCGGGCCUUGUACACACCGCCCGUCACACCACGAGAGUUUGUAACACCCGAAGUCGGUGAGGUAACCUUUUGGAGCCAGCCGCCUAAGGUGGGAUAGAUGAUUGGGGUGAAGUCGUAACAAGGUAGCCGUAUCGGAAGGUGCGGCUGGAUCACCUCCUUU
RNAcentral lists this ribosomal RNA (1560 nucleotides) under Enterococcus hirae. RNAcentral describes it as "bacterial SSU rRNA". It matches the Rfam family "Bacterial small subunit ribosomal RNA". The record is from RNAcentral. Lineage: Bacteria; Bacillati; Bacillota; Bacilli; Lactobacillales; Enterococcaceae.